Molecule: ribosomal RNA, 1206 nt
Filed under: Acinetobacter sp. 272263
Lineage: Bacteria; Pseudomonadati; Pseudomonadota; Gammaproteobacteria; Moraxellales; Moraxellaceae
Description: bacterial LSU rRNA
Rfam family: Bacterial large subunit ribosomal RNA
Source: RNAcentral
GGAGAAGGUACGCUGCUGAUGGUGAUAGGACUUGCUCCUUGAGCUGUCGGCAGCCGCAGAAACCAGGCCGCUGCAACUGUUUAUUAAAAACAUAGCACUCUGCAAACACGAAAGUGGACGUAUAGGGUGUGAUGCCUGCCCGGUGCUGGAAGGUUAAUUGAUGGGGUUAGCGUAAGCGAAGCUCUUGAUCGAAGCCCCAGUAAACGGCGGCCGUAACUAUAACGGUCCUAAGGUAGCGAAAUUCCUUGUCGGGUAAGUUCCGACCUGCACGAAUGGCAUAAUGAUGGCGGCGCUGUCUCCAGCAGAGGCUCAGUGAAAUCGAAAUCGCUGUGAAGAUGCAGUGUACCCGCGGCUAGACGGAAAGACCCCGUGAACCUUUACUGCAGCUUGACACUGAACUUUGACCUUACUUGUGUAGGAUAGGUGGGAGGCUUUGAAGUAGGGACGCCAGUUCCUAUGGAGCCAUCCUUGAAAUACCACCCUGGUAAUGUUGAGGUUCUAACUCUGACCCAUAAUCUGGGUCGAGGACCGUGUCUGGUGGGUAGUUUGACUGGGGCGGUCUCCUCCUAAAGAGUAACGGAGGAGUACGAAGGUGCGCUCAGCGUGGUCGGAAAUCACGCGUAGAGUAUAAAGGCAAAAGCGCGCUUAACUGCGAGACCCACAAGUCGAGCAGGUACGAAAGUAGGUCUUAGUGAUCCGGUGGUUCUGUAUGGAAGGGCCAUCGCUCAACGGAUAAAAGGUACUCUGGGGAUAACAGGCUGAUACCGCCCAAGAGUUCAUAUCGACGGCGGUGUUUGGCACCUCGAUGUCGGCUCAUCUCAUCCUGGGGCUGAAGCAGGUCCCAAGGGUAUGGCUGUUCGCCAUUUAAAGAGGUACGCGAGCUGGGUUUAGAACGUCGUGAGACAGUUCGGUCCCUAUCUACCGUGGGCGCUGGAAAUUUGAGAGGAUCUGCUCCUAGUACGAGAGGACCAGAGUGGACGAACCUCUGGUGUACCGGUUGUGACGCCAGUCGCAUCGCCGGGUAGCUAUGUUCGGAAGGGAUAACCGCUGAAAGCAUCUAAGCGGGAAGCCUACCUCAAGAUAAGAUUUCCCCGUGACUUUAUGUCACCUAAAGAGCCGUUCAAGACCAGGACGUUGAUAGGUUGGAUGUGGAAGCAUAGUGAUAUGUGAAGCUGACCAAUACUAAUUGCUCGUGAGGCUUGACUA